ACGCUCGACACCUACGGGGGGCAGCAGUAGGGAAUCUUCCACAAUGGGCGCAAGCCUGAUGGAGCAACACCGCGUGAGUGAAGAAGGGUUUCGGCUCGUAAAGCUCUGUUGUUGGAGAAGAACGUGCGUGAGAGUAACUGUUCACGCAGUGACGGUAUCCAACCAGAAAGUCACGGCUAACUACGUGCCAGCAGCAGCGGUAAUCUGAGCGGGCUGGCAAGGC
This 223-nucleotide ribosomal RNA is filed under the name uncultured bacterium. RNAcentral describes it as "partial 16S ribosomal RNA". It matches the Rfam family "Bacterial small subunit ribosomal RNA", at positions 328 to 539 of the family's 1533-position model. The record is from RNAcentral.